CGCGUAGGUGGUUCGAUCAGUCGGAGGUGAAAGCCCUCGGCUCAACCGAGGAUCCGCGUCCGAUACUGUCGAACUUGAGUGCAGGAGAGGAGAGCGGAAUUCCCAGUGUAGCGGUGAAAUGCGUAGAUAUUGGGAGGAACACCGGUGGCGAAGGCGGCUCUCUGGACUGCCACUGACGCUGAGGCGCGAAAGCGUGGGGAGCAAACGGGAUUAGAUACCCCGGUAGUCCACGCCAUAAACGAUGACGACUAGGUGUGGGGUGGUUCAGUCCACUCCGUGCCGCAGCUAACGCAUUAAGUCGUCCGCCUGGGGAGUACGGCCGCAAGGUUGAA
This 332-nucleotide ribosomal RNA is filed under the name uncultured bacterium. Its description in RNAcentral is "bacterial SSU rRNA". It matches the Rfam family "Bacterial small subunit ribosomal RNA", at positions 568 to 898 of the family's 1533-position model. The record is from RNAcentral.